Molecule: transfer RNA, 62 nt
Filed under: Calliophis bivirgatus (Blue Malaysian coral snake)
Lineage: Eukaryota; Metazoa; Chordata; Lepidosauria; Squamata; Elapidae
Description: tRNA-His
Source: RNAcentral
UGUGUAUGUAAUUUAAACAAAAUAUCAAGCUGUGACCUUGACAAUAGAAUCCCCUCAUACAC